RNAcentral lists this long non-coding RNA (1275 nucleotides) under Sus scrofa (pig). RNAcentral describes it as "lncRNA (ENSSSCG00070017516.1)". The record is from RNAcentral. Lineage: Eukaryota; Metazoa; Chordata; Mammalia; Artiodactyla; Suidae.
AUGUUCAGAUCCAAGCAACAAAACCAACCAAACCGAGAAGCAUCCACCACGUCCGAGUCCGCGAGCCCUCGAGCCUUUGCACCUCAGCGAGGGAGCCUCCGUUUUCUACCAAGUCUUCCUUCGGGUCCGCUCCGCGCAGUGUGGGCUCAGUGGCCAGCGGCCGCAGGUCUGAGCAGGAAGAGCGGCCAGCGGGACUUGGCCUUGGUUGCCGACUGUGCCAGAGGAGGGGCGGCCGGGCUGGGCGGGCGGGGAGGGGGCAGCUUUCCAUCCCAGGGCUUCAGCUGUGCCCAGUCACCCCGUGUCUCCCACGCUGUGCCCCAGCUACCCCUCUGGCCCCGCGCCAGCACCCGAGUCCUGCAAACCUCGGGAGGCGUGUGCAGCCCCCGGAGACUGUCAGACCAGCAGCCCCGGGGUCCGCCCCCAACACCAAGGGCUGAGGUGUUUCCAGAACUAUGGGGCACCCAGGCCCCGUCCCUCCACGUGAGGGGGCUCCCGGUGCCAGGCCAGGGUCCCCUCCCUGCACCUAAGCGCGUGGGAGGACUUGCUCUGACCCGUCGUUCCUGGUUCCCCGUCUGGAGGAGGCCCCGGGCCUGGUCCGGGGGAGGGAAGGCCCGCCUCGCGAGCCAAGGCCUCAUCACUGGGUCGAAACCUCGGGCCCCUGCCCUGCAGUGCCUGGUCCCGCGAGGGAGCAGAGGGACAGGCCAGGCCGGCGCCUGGCUGCGCGGUGAGGUUGGGGUCACGGUGCUAUGGGUCUGGACGGCAGGAGCAGAGAGGGCGAGGCGUGGGGGGAGGCCGGGGCCGUCCACAGCCCCCUCCCCUGCCCUCGGGUCAGGUCCGGGGUGGGAGGGGCAGCAGACCAGGCAGCAGGGAGGAGCCCCUGGCCAGGCAGGGGAAGCAGCAAAAAAAAUAACAAAAGACUAGGCUCCGACAUGGCUCCACUGUCUCAUGAAACUUAAAAAGUAGGAAACUACACCUCACUUUCUAUUCAGCAUCAGCUCCUGAAGCUCCUGAGAUGAGGCUCCUUUUGUACUCCCGCUGUACAUAGCCCCGCCCGCCUCGGCUCCUCCUCUGUACAGGCCCCGCCCCUGCCGUCCGGCCCCUCCUCCCGCAGCCGCUCUGCCCGGGCCCUGCGCCCUCUGCCCCCCGACCCCCAGGACUGCAGCCAGGCCCCAGGCUUCCUUUCUUACCAUUCUGUAUGCUUCCAAGGUGUGACCAUUCAAAUCAACAGUAUUAUUAUUAUUAAGAUUAUUAAUAAAGAUUUCUUUCUUCAAACCA